Molecule: long non-coding RNA, 8585 nt
Filed under: Prunus persica (peach)
Lineage: Eukaryota; Viridiplantae; Streptophyta; Magnoliopsida; Rosales; Rosaceae
Description: long non-coding RNA (PPER_LNC001663)
Source: RNAcentral
AUGGUCGUUUAGCAAUUAAGGGCUUUUGCGAUUCCACCUGGUCUCUAUCUGUAUUUGCUGGUGGCCGUAUAACAAUAGUUGGCUUUUGUGAUUCGACAUGGCCCUUAUCUGUAUCUGUGGGAGGCCGUAUCACAAUAGGUGGCUUCUGAGAUUCAACAGGUGCAUUUUCAGGUUUCAUCUUGUUCGAUAUUAUUAUCUUGUUCACCUUAAAAGUGGGCUUCCCAGUUUCCGGAUCAGAUGCCACCGGACGUUCAGAGCUCUCUGUCUCUCCAAGAGCCUGUUUAUCAGGAAGCUUUUCAGUUGACCCACAUUUGAAUUUCAAUGGAAGAACCUUUGUACUCAGACCAACGUCAACAUCGGAAGCUUCAACCACGGCAAUUUUAGUUGCACUUUUAGGUACCAGCUUCUUUGUCGUAGUUUUCUGCUGAGCCUGAUUAGAUGGAUUCAGAGCAGUGAUCUUUCCAUCUGCUUUAUCCAGAUCUGGAGUGUCGCUGUGUGUUUCCUGAUCUUCACCAUACUUGGGGCAGUUCUUGUUUGUUCUCAUGUGUCCAGCCUAGGUCAUCAAAAAGGUAAACAAUCAGUAUUAAAUUAUUAGUCACACUAUUAGCAGAAUAUUACCAAAACUCUAAACUAAACUUAUCUGAGUUAUAUACCUGAUGACAUGCUCCACUCUCUCUCUCUCUCUCUCUCUCUGUAUUUCUGUGAUUGCAACAAGCAUCUCAUAUUAUGAAAAUAAAUAUAUAAACACAAGGGAUAGCCAAAAAGUUCCUGGAAAAUAUUCAAACAUCAUGCUCUCUGAAAAAAAAAAUUUGAGUCCAUAUCACAAGAAUACUAUAACUGGUAAAACCUGGAGAACUUGGCGGGGUUGGAGAAACAGGAGGAGAUGGAGUGGCUGGAAGAGGUUUCAGAAGAGGGUUAUUUUUGUAACUGCAAAAUGAGGAAUAAUGUCAGUGAGUACAUCAUUUACAUAAGCCUUCCAAAAGAAAAGGAAUAAAAUAGCCUCUACCAACCUGAUAGGAGUAAAAAGUGAAAAAGAACCAUUGACUGGAAUAUCUCCAGUCAGAUUGUUACUUGAAAGAUCCCUGCAUUCCAUGUAAAAAAAACUUUGUUAUUUGCAUUCUAUGAUGGUAGAGAAACUAGUAACUCUUCUCUCUCUCUCUCUCUCUCUCUCUCUCUCUCUCUCUCUCUCUCUCUCUCUCUCUCUCUCUCUCUCUCUCAUUGAGAUGAGAAGGGUACAAAACUCACAGGACUUGCAACGAUUGAAUCUUAGUCAAAGCCAUGGGAAUAUCCCCCGUCAAGGUGUUGUUGUUGAGACGCCUAUUUCAUGGAACAGAAACCGUUAUAUCCCCAAUAAUUCCAAUGACAACAUAUAUUGUAUUUCUAACACAUCACUAUUCAAUUUUUUCCAAGGGGAGAUGAUAAAUAGACUGAAACGAAGUUUUAUGGUUUUUUUUUUCUUCACAUGUUUCUUGUCACAUUCAAACACUAGAAGAAUGUGCAAGUCAUGCGUGCACAUAGUGUCGAAACAGACUACACAUUCUGCAGGAUCCUUCACUGGUUAGAUAAUAUGAAUCUAGUAAUUGUUACUGCUUGAGAUACCAAGGAUUAAAGCACAGCAUUUCUGGGAAAUCAAUAGAUUCUCUUUUUAACAUACUCAGUAUUCAGGAAAAUAAAUAAAUCUCCCGAACUUCUGCAUGCCCAGCAAAGUGAAAGUUGUUGAGAAGCCAAAAAGAGAGCAUGAUAAUUUUCUUAUGAUAACCUAAGAGAGAUCACAAGGAUGGCUCGAAAACUAAAUUGGAAAUUAUAAUACUCCAAUUAAAACUCAAUGUUAUACAACUAUUUGCAAUAUAAAAGAUUGAGAUCAGAUAGAAACACAAACUGGAAUACUCUUAUUAAAUAUAAGCUUAUCAUCAUCCUUCAGACUAAAACUUCAUGAACUCAAUUACUAGCACAAGAAGUCUCUUUUAGAUAGUUGAUGGCAUUAUUUUAAGACUUCUUCUGCAUCAACAUUUCCGGGGAUAGAGAACUAAGAAACAAAACACUCAAAAAGAGCUAAAGAAAUUUAUGACAGGGCCUCUUCAAGCUAUUAUGUGCCAUGAUUAACUGGCAACCUGGGGUUUCAUAAUCAUCAAGGUACAAAACGGAACGGCAAAAAGCUAUGGGAACUUAUAAUUUUCUUCCUUUCCUAUUAGGACAUUCUUUAGAAUAUUUACACCACUGCUUUUAGCUUAAUGCUUCUGGCAUUUAGAGUUCCAAUAACAUCCAUAUUAGCUUUACCGAGUGAACUAUUACCUUCUUUAGAAUCUUGAUACCAGGCAUCUUGCCUUAAGGGUUCCAAUUACUUAUUUGUUUAUGUUUUUUGUCCUUUUGCGUAUUGUUGACCUGUUGUAUAUUAUUUUCCUUAUGCUAAUUUGUUUAACCUCCACCUUGAUGCCUUAACUAUAGUGGCACAAUAUUGGUAGAUCAUAGUCAACCUAAGUAAUCUUUUGGGUUCAACCUAGAUGCUAUCAUGCACUCUAAGGAUGAAUGUUACUGAAGGAAUAAUUGAAAACAUUAAAUUAGCAUAUCAAAUAAAACAAACAAAUACAAGAUAUAUUUAUUUUCUUUAAACCACAACCUAAAUCCUCUAAAUCCAAAAGGAAAACCAUAUUUGUUAGUGGACAAGUCACAUAAUAGACUGUACGGGAUGCAUUCAGAGAAAGCAUAAUCAAUCAGAACAUAAAUAAAUGAAUCCACCAACUAAAGAAUGAAGACAAUUUGUUAAGAAAAAACAAAGAACGUAGACAAAGGAUGCGGAUUCAUACAGGAAACGUAGUUUUUCUAGCUUGCCAAGUGUGUCGGGAAUGGUACCACGUAAACCGUUCAAGUAAAGAUCCAAGCUGACCAAGUUUGUCAAAGUUCCAAGCUCUGCUGGAAUGUUUCCAGUUAUGUUAUUACUAUAAAGUUCCCUGUCAAUGGAAGUAGUGAAUCGAUGGAUCAGUUUUUCACUUUUUAAGGUAAGAUUCCAAUUUCAAUUUGGAUGCAUAUUGAUGGAACUUUAGAUAAUACAAGGACAAACAAGUAUACUAAAAAACACACUUACAAGUACUGCAAGUUGGAGAGAACACCAAGUUGUGACACCAAUUGACCAGAGAGAUUGGCAUUGCCAAGAUCACUGAAUGAGCGCAAAUGUUAAAAACAAGAAAAGCAUAUCAUUAGUCUUUUUUCUAUUUUUCCCCCCUCCUUUUUGGGUAUUUCUCUUUUUCUGGGUUUGCUUAAUAAACAGAAGGAAAUGAAUUGAAUGAAUGUACUGAAAGAAACAAGUGAAAUGAAGUGUUUUAGCAGCUUACACUCGCGUGACGCUGUUUUCGCUAUUACAAGUGACAUGAAACCAUGUACAGGGGUUGACGAGAGUGGGAUCCCAACUUUGGAGAACAUUGUUAGGAUCAACUAAAUUGCUCUUCAACGCAUUCAAUGCGUCACCUGUCUCCAAGGAAAUCAAAUCAGUCAUUCAUUCAUCCAAAUUCCCGUAACCAAACACACACAACACACGAAGAAAAGACCUUCAACGUUGCCAGAGAGCUUAAGGAGUUGAAGGAAACCAAACAGCAGAAAUAGCCAAACAGAAGCAGAGCCCGAGGUGGUGGACAUCACUGCGUCUAUUUCCCUCACAAAUUCCAGGAGCUCAGCUCAGUAGCCUCAGCCUCUUCAUAAACGAAUCCCUAAUUCUGAUUCUAAUUCAAAGUCUAAUAAUUGGAAAAGCAGCUGGCGUUGACCGAUCAAAAUCUGGAGCAUCUCUGGGUUUGACGUCGUUGACCCAAAGUCUAGAAAAUUCGGAUGCUUUUGCUUUUGCUAUUGCUUUUGCUUUUGCUUUGGGCGUGAGAUUGAAAUUGUAGAUUUCGUUUGGCAAAGCAUACGCUGGAGAGCAGACAAAGACAAAGACAGACAGAGAGAGAGAGAGAGAGAAAGAGAGAAAGAGGGAUAUCAAUGGAGGACUUUGUCUUUGAGCUUGAAAUGAAAACAGAGUUUAGUUUAGUUUUGGGGAAGAAAGGGAAAAAAAAAAAGAAAAGUAAAAGCUGGUGGGUUGGUUUGCUUGGGUUUGGGUUUGGCAGGAGCGGCGGAUGGCUCUUCUUCUUAGUCAAAGUUGCAGCCCACCACGUUAGAAAUUUCCUUCUUCUUUUUUUAUUUAUAUUUUAUUUCUUCAUUUCUAUUAUGUUUUUCUAAUGUUUAUAAUUAUUUUAUUCAUUUGUUUUUGGGCCUUGACUGAGGCUUGCUAUUGGACUUGAUGAGAAUAACUACGCCCAGUUGAGAGUGAGAACGUGGCGAAAUUCUAUAGUGAGGGUGUCAGAUAGCGAACUUUUUAUAUGGACCUUUUAUAUUAGUUACAUGAUAAUUUCAUUAAACUUAAGUGAAGUUAUUAUUCAGAUGAAUCAUGUGACUAAUAUGAAUGUCCACAUCUAUAGUCCAUAUAUGGCACCCUCACCAUAGAACGACUUUGAGAACGUGUUGCCUGGAGUCAAAAGUCUGACGAUCAAGAAAGGUCCUAAGUUCAAUUUUCCAUUUCUUCAAUAUCGCUUUUUGUAUAAAAUAAUAGAGUAUGGAGAUCAAGUAAAAGAAAUAUGGGGAUCAAGCAUUAUUUGACUACAAGAGCAUAAAGCAGUGCAGUCAGUUUUGAAGUACUUCAUACUCCAAUCAAUUCAAAUCGACUCUAGAAUGGAUUCCUAAUCUAAUUAAGUCAUUCAAGCACUAUAUAAGACGAUCAAAUUUAGAACCAUAGAUACGACUUUUUCAACACAAGUCAACUCAAAUUUUAGAAUAUUUCUUUUAGAUCACAAAUCGGUUCCCUAGAGGUUUCAAGCCUGCUUAAGGCUUCUUGAUUCAGAACUCGGCAUGACCCAAUCAAAAUUUCUUCCUACUAGUUUGAGGUGAUUUUUUUUUUACUUUCUUAAGUGAUAUCUAGCAGUAUAUGAAUGGUUUUUAUCAUUUCAUAGAUAAUUUAAGUCCUUAUUGCUUUUAAGGCAUGGGAAAUAACCAAUAUCUAGCUAGAUCUCUACCUAAUGCACAUUGGCUUGGUUAGAAAUCAGUUACUUGAGGCACAAUCAAUCACAAAUUAUAUAUUCUAUUGAGUUCUUUUGCAAUUUCAAUAGUGGCAUGCUCACAUAAUUUCAAAGCUAAGUUAACCAGAGCUUGCUUCGAUCGAUUUCUAAGGCUAGGUAGUUGUUUAGCAAACAUCUUUUUCUGGCACACCCAAUGGAUCGAGCUUUAUUUUAUCGGUGUUUGAGUUUCCAGUAGUAUUAAGCCUAAAACACCCCGAAAGUGUUGAAUUUGAGAGAGUGCUAUGGUUAUCUUCAAUGGCUCAUUGGGACAUUAUUGGCAAGAAAAACGUCAUCUCUAUAGAGAGUUCCGAUAGAGAAGAACAAUGGGACAAAACCUAAGUACGUUGGGGUUGAUGUGUUGAUUCUUCUAUGUCACAUAAUUGACGGGAAGGUUGGAAGGAUAUUUUUUGAGUUUGAACUUGGUGCUGAGAUUGUGAAUAAUAUUUUAACGUUACUCUAAUUAGGAUUGAAUCGAGAUUAAACUCGGGUUGGCACCAGAGGCUAGUAUUGUGGGAGCUAAGGAUCCACAAGUCUAGCAAGAGAAAAAGUAUGCAUGAAAUUCCUUGUACUUCGAUUGUGCUUGGACUUUUGGACAGUGAUUCUCACCUGAAUGUUGGGCACCGUGUUUUAUAGGGGCUGAAGGCAGGACUAAUGAUACGAGAGGAACUGGAGCUGAGGAACUAACAGAACCAAUAAUCGAGUUUGAGGAUCAAAAUGUAAAUCAUGCCAAAAUUUUGUUUUUCUUUGUUGUUCAAUACGUCAUGCCUAAGUUGAAGGACCAUAUCUCCUAAAAAUUAUACAACUCGCUUGUGUGCAUGUGAACUUUCAUUUGCGGAUUCAAUCGGUAUAUGUUGCUAGUACUCAUUCAAUAGGUAAUUAACUGCAACGUUGGAAAGGAUUUGAUAUAGGAAACCAAACACCAAUACUGGAAUGGAAUGUCAGAUGCAUGAAAUGAAGAUGAAAUAACAUCCAGCACAAAAAAUCUUUUGAUCCUCCUGCUCAGAUCGGUGACUUAGCAAGAUGAAAUUUUGAUUGAAAAACUGAUAUGUCAAUGAAACCUUUUAUUUUUUAUUUUUUAUUACUUAAUACAAGCAGAUAUUGGGGGAGGGGGGAAUCAAACCUAGGACAUUGAGUGCAGGCUAAAUGCUCUUAAGCACUUGAGAUACACGCCCCUUGUGUCAAUAAAACUUUUUAAACAUUGCAGUCACUGUACAACUAACACAAUUUUAAAACGGAUGUUAUUCAGUAACUCAAACACAAAUUACAGCAGAUGAUCACAAAUUUACAGGAGAUGCGGCUAUUUUCUUUCAUUGAUGCUUCCUGACAUGUCAGAUGAAGCCGACGCAGUCUCUUUAAUCCACAAUACCUAAAAACUUACUCCGGCAAAAGUAGGCAUUCUUCUUUGAAAAAAUAAAGUUACGGAUAUUAAAUCAGUAUCAACAUCUCUAAAAAUCUGCAGAUUCAAUGCCUGCUUCAGCUUCAGUCAAGCUUUCGUCAUUCUCAACCAACAUAUAGUCACAAAGCUCUAAGAGCUGAUCUGCGAGAGGAGGUAUACCUGGAUUACGCCCAUCAUUAUAUUUGUGAGCAUUAUAAGUUAUCUGCCACACAUCGUGCCUGAAUUGCUCCCUGCUCUUGUACUCCAUUUUCCUCACCUUCUCCCUGAUUGUAGACAGAUCCAUGGGGCGCUCUAUGAUGUCCAGGUAAUCAGGAGCUUCCUUUUUGGAUACUGGUUUAAGAAAAAGAUACGAUACUUCAAUUCGAUCUUUGAGGGUUUCUAUAAUACGCUCCAAGAUGUUUGCCAGACCAACCUGUAGAAAAAGUAUGAAGAUAAAUAAGAAUGCUUUGUACACAGGAUAUUUGUUAUUAUACAAGCCUCUUGGAGGUCGAUGUGAAUAUUUUUAUACCAUCUGUGAACAUUGCAAUCAAUUUAUAAUGACACACUGUAAUUUCUUACAACAAAGAAAUUACAAAAGUCAUUGGCACCUUUGGCUGUGCAUUAAUUCAUUGCUUGGUGUAUGAGAGUUUAGCUUGCACAAUUUCAGAAAAGAACAAUGGGCCCUUCUCUUCCGCGUUUUGUUUUAUUUUCUUACAUAUUAGAACAAGCAUUACCUCAUCCCAUUCCUAUUCUGGGUUUGUAGGUAUUCACUAAACAAUUACUGAACAGCACUAAAAUGCAGUAUUGAGACCAGUUAAAUAAAUCAACUCCAAGAAAGAUACGGAAAAAAACAAAAAGGAUGUUUGUCUUAGCACAUAAAUUUAACAGCAUUUCUCACCAACGACCCAUAAAAACUACAUAAAUAAACUCCCCCAAAAAGUGAUUCGUAAUUGCUUCCACUAUCUUUAGUGUUUUAUUUGAGAUGAAUAUGUUUACUGUUUUAUAAGUACAGAGAAAUACUAAGUCACACCACAAACAAAACUCUACCAAAUAAAUUUUGAUUAAAAGUCAGUGUGAUCCCACUGGAAAACAAGUAAUAAUUCUAAAAGAACAGUUGCAAUUCGUAGUGGGUAGACUGGGUUUGUCCAUUUCAACUGAUCAAUUCCUAAAUUUUAUCCUGGUGUAGGCUGUGAACUACCACAUAUUGUAGAAUGAAUCCGCCACCAGUUGUAAUAAAGGUGGCAUGUGCGGGGAAAAUCUGAAUGAACGAAAAUAACUUGAAGAUAAGCAUGAACAUAUUACCUCUCCCCCUCUACGACGCUUUGUUAUUGGGGCAGAUUCUCCACCAUACCUUCCCAAUUCAACAACUGGCCUCCUUUUUGCACCCCGAUCUCUUUCUUGCAUCCUUUUGUCAAAUCUUCUUGCUCGUGAGUCCUCUAUAUAAUCCUCUCUUAUCUCAGGCCUUUUCUUCUUCUGUUUGUUCUUCUUCGCUUUCUGGCGUUCUUCUUCUUCCCUCUCUUGUCUGAUGACUGCUUCAUAUCUUCUAAUCUCUGCUAGUCUUUCUUGCUCCUCUAUCAUUCUCAUUUCCUCUUCGUAAAGCCUCCUGGCCCUCUCUUCUUUCAAUCUCUCUUCAUUUCUCCGUUUCUCUUGCUCCUCCCUUGAUCUCUUAUCAUCUCUAGCUUUCUUUUUUGCAGCUUCCUUAGCCAAAUACAUGUUCUCUUCCUUCCUGUUCUUUUCAGAACUUGUCAAUUCAACAAUUCUUUUAGUUUUCCUAUGUUCAACAGGAGUACUCCCAUCCUGACUGACCUGAUCUAUAUCAAUAAUUUCUUUUGGACGUUUAAUUAUAAUUUUCUUAUGAUGUUGCUCUCUCUGUGCCUCCAUUGAUGGUCGUUUAGCAAUUAAGGGCUUUUGCGAUUCCACCUGGUCUCUAUCUGUAUUUGCUGGUGGCCGUAUAACAAUAGUUGGCUUUUGUGAUUCGACAUGGCCCUUAUCUGUAUCUGUGGGAGGCCGUAUCACAAUAGGUGGCUUCUGAGAUUCAACAGGUGCAUUUUCAGGUUUCAUCUUGUUCGAUAUUAUUAUCUUGUUCACCUUAAAAGUGGGCUUCCCAGUUUCCGGAUCAGAUGCCACCGGACGUU